This 253-nucleotide ribosomal RNA is filed under the name uncultured bacterium. Its description in RNAcentral is "partial 16S ribosomal RNA". It matches the Rfam family "Bacterial small subunit ribosomal RNA", at positions 524 to 776 of the family's 1533-position model. The record is from RNAcentral.
GACGAACCGAGCGAACGUUAUUCGGAAUCACUGGGCUUAAAGGGUGCGUAGGCGGGCCCGUCAGUCAGGGGUGAAAUCCCACGGCCCAACCGUGGAAGUGCCUCUGAUACUGCGGGCCUGGAGGGGGAUAGGGGCGUGCGGAACUUCCGGUGGAGCGGUGAAAUGCGUAGAUAUCGGGAAGAACACCCGUGGCGAAGGCGGUUCUCUGGGACGGUACUGACGCUGAGACGCGAAAGCGUGGGGAGCGAACAGG